Molecule: non-coding RNA, 707 nt
Organism: Pelobates cultripes (western spadefoot toad)
Lineage: Eukaryota; Metazoa; Chordata; Amphibia; Anura; Pelobatidae
Source: the annotation of a GenBank genome assembly
GUUUACAUUGUGCCAGGGUAGGUCAUCUCUUGCCAGGAUAGGUCAUCUCUUAUUACUGAAAAAUAUCUCUGCAAACUAAACCUUGAUCAUGUUGAGACUAAUGCCAAUUUGUUGUUGGAUUUCUGGGAGCCCUUCCUUUGCAUUGUGGGAGUCUGAUAUAUGUUUUGUAUAGGGGGGACAGUGUAAGACCUCACUGCACAUAUAAUGGUAUAGUGAGGCACAUUGUCCCUAUAAAUAAUUUGAUGUAAUUUUAAGUACAUUGUUUGAUACAUAUUUCUCCAGAUUAAUGGAUGUAUUGCGGAUAUAUAAAGAUACAAGUUAUUGAAUUCUGGCUAUAACUGUAAGACGAGUAAAUCCUGGUUGCUCUAUCUAAUUGUAUCUUCUCCCAUUUAUUUAUGUAACAUCUGAGGGGACUGUCAAGUGGAACGAACGAAGUGGAAUGCAUUUGCGUUCCGGCCACAAGUUGAGGACGUCCGUUGGCGCGCACUACUGGUGGAACACAUGUGCGUUGCGCAGAAGGAUGACGGAUGUCCAAAUAAGGAAACAGGAUCAAGAACGAGUGAGGACAGCUGAUAGAGAUACAGAGGAUUGGCUGAAUGGACCUAAAGGGAAAUGGGAGGGAUAUCACUCUGGAAGGAGGAACACAGAGAUUGUUUGAUGGGCUUUUAACUACCGACUUCUUGUAAGUGUUUAUAAAUAAAAGCGUG